RNAcentral lists this ribosomal RNA (526 nucleotides) under uncultured bacterium. RNAcentral describes it as "bacterial SSU rRNA". It matches the Rfam family "Bacterial small subunit ribosomal RNA", at positions 355 to 896 of the family's 1533-position model. The record is from RNAcentral.
UGGGGAAUCUUGCACAAUGGGCGAAAGCCUGAUGCAGCGACGCCGCGUGCGGGAUGAAGGCCUUCGGGUUGUAAACUGCUUUCAGCAGGGACGAGGCGAAAGUGACGGUACCUGCAGAAGAAGCCCCGGCUAACUACGUGCCAGCAGCCGCGGUAAUACGUAGGGGGCAAGCGUUAUCCGGAUUCAUUGGGCGUAAAGCGCUCGUAGGCGGUCUGUUAGGUCGGGAGUUAAAUCCGGGGGCUCAACCCCCGUUCGCUCCCGAUACCGGCAGACUUGAGUUUGGUAGGGGAAGGUGGAAUUCCUAGUGUAGCGGUGGAAUGCGCAGAUAUUAGGAAGAACACCAGUGGCGAAGGCGGCCUUCUGGGCCAUAACUGACGCUGAGGAGCGAAAGCUAGGGGAGCAAACAGGAUUAGAUACCCUGGUAGUCCUAGCCGUAAACGAUGGACACUAGGUGUGGGGGAAUAUUUCUUCCGUGCCGCAGCUAACGCAUUAAGUGUCCCGCCUGGGGAGUACGGCCGCAAGGCUA